Molecule: ribosomal RNA, 374 nt
Filed under: Macaca mulatta (Rhesus monkey)
Lineage: Eukaryota; Metazoa; Chordata; Mammalia; Primates; Cercopithecidae
Description: 12S ribosomal RNA
Rfam family: Bacterial small subunit ribosomal RNA
Source: RNAcentral
GCUUAGCCUUAAACCUCAAUAGUUAAAACAACAAAACUACUCUCCAGAAUACUACAAGCAACAGCUUAAAACUCAAAGGACUUGGCGGUGCUUCACAUCCCCCUAGAGGAGCCUGUUCUGUAAUCGAUAAGCCCCGAUCCACCCCAUCCUCUCUUGCUCAGCCUAUAUACUGCCAUCUUCAGCAAACCCUGAUGAAGGUCACGAAGUGAGCGCAAAUGUUAGGUCAAGGUGUAACCUAUGAGAUGGUAAAAAAUGGGCUACAUUUUCUACCUCAGAAAACCCCAUGAUAACUCUUAUGAAACCUAAGAGUCUAAGGAGGAUUUGGCGGUAAAUUAAGAAUAGAGUGCUUAAUUGAACUAGGCCAUAAAGCGCGC